CCCUUAGAUGUUCUGGGCUGCACGCGCGCUACACUGAUACUUUCAGCGAGUCCACCACCUUGCCUGGGAGGGUGGGGUAACCUCUGGAAAGUGCAUCGUGAUGGGGAUCGAUUAUUGUAAUUAUUAAUCUUCAACGAGGAAUUCCUAGUAAGCAUGUGUCAUCAGCCCGUGCUGAUUACGUCCCUGCCCUUUGUACACACCGCCCGUCGCACCUACCGAUUGAAUGGUCCGGUGAAAUCUCGGGACGGCGGCUUGGUCGCUUGCGUCCGACUGCUGAAACUUGAUUAAACCAUAUCAUUUAGAGGAAGGUGAAGUCGUAACA
Molecule: ribosomal RNA, 322 nt
Filed under: uncultured eukaryote
Lineage: Eukaryota
Description: partial 18S ribosomal RNA
Rfam family: Eukaryotic small subunit ribosomal RNA
Source: RNAcentral